This 276-nucleotide ribosomal RNA is filed under the name uncultured prokaryote. RNAcentral describes it as "partial 16S ribosomal RNA". It matches the Rfam family "Bacterial small subunit ribosomal RNA", at positions 524 to 800 of the family's 1533-position model. The record is from RNAcentral.
UACGUAGGGGGCGAGCGUUGUCCGGAUUUACUGGGCGUAAAGGGUGAGUAGGCGGUUAUAUAUGUCAGGUGUAAAAAGCUAUGGCUUAACCAUAGUAAGCACUUGAAACUGUAUGACUUGAGUGCAGGAGAGGUAAGCGGAAUUCCUAGUGUAGCGGUGAAAUGCGUAGAUAUUAGGAGGAACACCGGUGGCGAAGGCGGCUUACUGGACUGUAACUGACGCUGAGUCACGAAAGCGUGGGUAGCAAACAGGAUUAGAUACCCCUGUAGUCCCUGA